RNAcentral lists this ribosomal RNA (468 nucleotides) under uncultured bacterium. RNAcentral's name for it is "partial 16S ribosomal RNA". It matches the Rfam family "Bacterial small subunit ribosomal RNA", at positions 28 to 507 of the family's 1533-position model. The record is from RNAcentral.
GACGAACGCUGGCGGCGUGCUUAACACAUGCAAGUCGAACGGAAAGGCCCUGCUCUUGUGGGGUGCUCGAGUGGCGAACGGGUGAGUAACACGUGAGUAACCUGCCCUUGACUUUGGGAUAACUUCAGGAAACUGGGGCUAAUACCGGAUAGGAGCUCCUGCUGCAUGGUGGGGGUUGGAAAGUUUCGGCGGUUGGGGAUGGACUCGCGGCUUAUCAGCUUGUUGGUGGGGUAGUGGCUUACCAAGGCUUUGACGGGUAGCCGGCCUGAGAGGGUGACCGGCCACAUUGGGACUGAGAUACGGCCCAGACUCCUACGGGAGGCAGCAGUGGGGAAUAUUGCACAGUGGGCGGAAGCCUGAUGCAGCAACGCCGCGUGCGGGAUGACGGCCUUCGGGUUGUAAACCGCUUUCGCCUGUGACGAAGCGUGAGUGACGGUAAUGGGUAAAGAAGCACCGGCUAACUACGUG